UCAGGAAGCAGGGCGAUUGCUCCGCCAAUCCGCCAGCUGGCGGAGGCGGGGAGGAAAGUCCAGACAGCGCAGAGCACGGUAUCCGGCGUAAGCCGAAACAGGCAACUGCUAGUUAGAGCAACAGAAACGUCUCCGCCGAAUCGGCGGAUUGAAACGGGCAAUCCUUACCGGCUGCAACCGCAUGACACUCAAAAAAGGCUGCUCGCCUUGAGUGAAAAGAAGGGCAUCAGACAGAUAAUCGCCUGAAACAGAAUCUGGCUUACUCGCUUCCUGAAAGG
Molecule: RNase P RNA, 278 nt
Filed under: bacterium CG1_02_42_9
Lineage: Bacteria
Also listed under: 3 other names
Description: RNase P RNA component class A
Rfam family: Bacterial RNase P class A
About the family: Ribonuclease P (RNase P) is a ubiquitous endoribonuclease, found in archaea, bacteria and eukarya as well as chloroplasts and mitochondria.
Source: RNAcentral